AAUGCUCAGUAACACGUGGAUAACCUGCCCUAUGCUCUGGGAUAACCUCGGGAAACUGAGAAGAAUACCGGAUAGACCACAACGCCUGGAACGGUGUGUGGUUGAAAGGUCACGGCAUAGGAUGGGUCUGCGGCGUAUCAGGUCGUAGGGGGUGUAACGGACCUCCUAGCCAUCGACGCGUACGGGUUGUGGGAGCAAUAGCCCGGAGAUGGAUUCUGAGACACGAAUCCAGACCCUACGGGGUGCAGCAGGCGCGAAAACUUCACACUGCAGGAAACUGUGAUGAGGGAACUCCAAGUGACUGCACAUUGUGUAGCCUUUUCUUUACUAUUAAUCGGUAUUGGAAUAAGGGCUGGGAAAGACCGGUGCCAGCCGCCGCGGUAAUACCGGCAGCUCAAGUGGUCGUCGCUUUUAUUGGGCCUAAAACGUCCGUAGCCGGUCUGGUGCAUUCGUGGGUAAAUCAACCCGCUCAACGGGUUGAAUUCUGCGAGCACGGCCAGACUUGGGACCGGGAGAGGUGUGGGGUACUCUCAGGGUAGGGGUAAAAUCCUGUCAUCCUGAGAGGACCACCUGUUGCGAAGGCGCCACACUAGAACGGAUCCGACGGUCAGGGACGAAACCUAGGGGCACGAACCGGAUUAGAUACCCGGGUAGUCCUAGGUGUAAACGCUGUGGACUUGAUGUUGGGGGCGCUCCGAGCGCUUUCAGUGUCGAAGCGAAGGUGAUAAGUCCACUGCCUGGGGAGUACGGUCGCAAGGCUGAAACUUAAAGGAAUUGGCGGGGGAGCAC
This 789-nucleotide ribosomal RNA is filed under the name uncultured archaeon. Its description in RNAcentral is "bacterial SSU rRNA". It matches the Rfam family "Archaeal small subunit ribosomal RNA", at positions 85 to 879 of the family's 1478-position model. The record is from RNAcentral.